RNAcentral lists this ribosomal RNA (400 nucleotides) under uncultured bacterium. RNAcentral's name for it is "partial 16S ribosomal RNA". The record is from RNAcentral.
CCGUGUGCUGAUGCGCGAUUACUAGCGAAUCCAGCUUCACGAAGUCGGGUUGCAGACUUCGAUCCGAACUGAGAGAGGUUUUUGGGAUUGGCAUCCGGUCGCCCGGUAGCUGCCCUCUGUACCCCCCAUUGUAACACGUGUGUAGCCCCGGACGUAAGGGCCGUGCUGAUUUGACGUCAUCCCCACCUUCCUCACAUCUUACGACGGCAGUCUCACUAGAGUCCUCAGCAUGACCUGUUAGUAACUAAUGAUAAGGGUUGCGCUCGUUAUGGCACUUAAGCCGACACCUCACGGCACGAGCUGACGACAACCAUGCAGCACCUUCACAGAGACCUUGCGGGCAUAAUCUUUCAACUAUGUUCCUCUGCAAUUCAAGCCCCGGUAAGGGUCUCGCGUAUAU